UCUUUCAUCAGAAACACUAAAUCAAGGUGAAGUUGAUCCUUUAGACGACACACACAUCCAGGUGAGGUUGAUCCUUUAGACGACACACAUCCAGGUGAGGUUGAUCCUUUAGAAGACACACAUCAGGUGAGGUUGAUCCUUUAGACGACACACACAUCCAGGUGAGGUUGAUCCUUUAGAAGACACACACAUCCAGGUGAGGUUGAUCCUUUAGAAGACACACACAUCCAGGUGAGGUUGAUCCUUUAGAAGACACACACAUCCAGGUGAGGUUGAUCCUUUAGAAGACACACAUCCAGGUGAGGUUGAUCCUUUAGAAGACACACACAUCCAGGUGAGGUUGAUCCUUUAGAAGACACACACAUCCAGGUGAGGUUGAUCCUUUAGAAGACACACACAUCCAGGUGAGGUUGAUCCUUUAGAAGACACACAUCCAGGUGAGGUUGAUCCUUUAGAAGACACACACAUCCAGGUGAGGUUGAUCCUUUAGAAGACACACACAUCCAGGUGAGGUUGAUCCUUUAGAAGACACACACAUCCAGGUGAGGUUGGUUAUUUAAAAGACACCUACAACUAUUUGAGAUUGUCAUUCGAUCAUAUACACAUAAAUUUAGGUUGGAAUGGUCAUUUGGAAGAUGUACACACACAUAUCCAGGAGAAUGAAUGUCGAUGUUGUGGAUACAGCGAGAGAGAUGCAGCGUGUUAAUGAUGCAGCUUCAGGUAGUGAAUGCAUCCCCACAACUGCUGCAUGAGUUCGCCAUCGUCAA
Molecule: long non-coding RNA, 767 nt
Organism: Haliotis rubra (blacklip abalone)
Lineage: Eukaryota; Metazoa; Mollusca; Gastropoda; Lepetellida; Haliotidae
Exons: 3
Source: RefSeq, a predicted model, not a curated record